GAGGAGAGUAGAGCAGGACCAAGAGGUGUUCUGUACCUGUCUGUCCAGGAGGGAGGAGAGUAGAGCAGGACCAAGAGGUGUUCUGUACCUGUCUGUCCAGGAGGGAGGAGAGUAGAGCAGGACCAAGAGGUGUUCUGUACCUGCUGUCCAGGAGGGAGGAGAGUGAGCAGGACCAAGAGGUGUUCUGUACCUGUCUGUCCAGGAGGGAGGAGAGUAGAGCAGGACCAAGAGGUGUUCUGUACCUGUCUGUCCAGGAGGGAGGAGAGUAGAGCAGGACCAAGAGGUGUUCUGUACCUGCCUGUCC
Molecule: non-coding RNA, 304 nt
Organism: Salvelinus sp. IW2-2015
Lineage: Eukaryota; Metazoa; Chordata; Actinopteri; Salmoniformes; Salmonidae
Source: RefSeq, a predicted model, not a curated record